UAUGGGAUGGCCAAAAUCUUAGAAGGGCAAGAAGGAAGAAAAUGCUUCAAGUGCUAGGAGUUUGGUCAUUUCAAGCGGGAUUGUCUACUAUAGAAACAGAAAUAGAAAGAAAAGACAAUAGCUGUAGCAUCUGAUUCACUGAGUAUGGUGUCUGAUCGUGAGGUGGAGGAUGAUCUCCUAAUUGUGUCGGAUGGUCAUAGGAGUGGCAUAGAGAUAUGGACAUUAGACUCAGUCUGUUCACAUCAUUACACCCCAAAU
RNAcentral lists this long non-coding RNA (258 nucleotides) under Elaeis guineensis (African oil palm). RNAcentral describes it as "long non-coding RNA (EGUI_LNC050731)". Lineage: Eukaryota; Viridiplantae; Streptophyta; Magnoliopsida; Arecales; Arecaceae. The record is from RNAcentral.